RNAcentral lists this transfer RNA (71 nucleotides) under Loxodonta africana (African savanna elephant). It matches the Rfam family "tRNA". Rfam says of the family: Transfer RNA (tRNA) molecules are approximately 80 nucleotides in length. Their secondary structure includes four short double-helical elements and three loops (D, anti-codon, and T loops). Further hydrogen bonds mediate the characteristic L-shaped molecular structure. tRNAs have two regions of fundamental functional importance: the anti-codon, which is responsible for specific mRNA codon recognition, and the 3' end, to which the tRNAs corresponding amino acid is attached (by aminoacyl-tRNA synthetases). tRNAs cope with the degeneracy of the genetic code in two manners: having more than one tRNA (with a specific anti-codon) for a particular amino acid; and 'wobble' base-pairing, i.e. permitting non-standard base-pairing at the 3rd anti-codon position. Lineage: Eukaryota; Metazoa; Chordata; Mammalia; Proboscidea; Elephantidae. The record is from Rfam by way of RNAcentral.
GCAGUGGUGGUUCAGUGGUAGAAUUCUCAGCUUCUAUGCGAGAGACCCAGGUUUGAUCCCUGGCCAGUGCA